Molecule: long non-coding RNA, 531 nt
Organism: Homo sapiens (human)
Lineage: Eukaryota; Metazoa; Chordata; Mammalia; Primates; Hominidae
Exons: 3
Source: RefSeq, a predicted model, not a curated record
CAGGCAUGAGCCACCAUGCCUGGCCAGAUACAGAUAUAUUUUUAAGGAAAAAUACUGGAAGAGUAAUCAGCAAACGUUAAAAAUAGCCCUGUAGGGCAGAUGAAGCCACCUACACACCACCUCCCAGCCUUUGCCCUGACCGUUCCUUUGCCUUGAAUGGCAAUCUCUUCUCUGCCUCUGCAAAUUAUAACCUGCCGAGGAAACAUCCCGCUCCUUCUGGGCUCUUGCAGACCUCACGAACCAGCUAUCUCUGCCGUGGGAAGAUGCUCUCUGGACCGCCUGACAUUGCCACUAAUGACCGAGGACCCCAGCUGGAUCUGAAAUAUCCAUCUCCUCUCACCCCUCAGAGCCACCGCAAGCUUGGACUGUGACCUGCUGGGUUCCAGAGAGGGCAAGUCUUCCUCCAGUAGAAGUCCGUGGCUCCAUGUCAGUGGUUCUAAGAGGCUUCUUCCAAAGGCUACAUUUCUUCUCAUAACUAUCCCAGUGCGGGCUCUCUAGGCCUGCCUAUUAUAUAUAAAUACACUUAACUUU